UUAAGCGACUAAGCGUACACGGUGGAUGCCUAGGCAGUCAGAGGCGAUGAAGGGCGUGCUAAUCUGCGAAAAGCGUCGGUAAGGUGAUAUGAACCGUUAUAACCGACGAUACCCGAAUGGGGAAACCCAGUGCAAUUCGUUGCACUAUUGCAUGGUGAAUACAUAGCCAUGCAAGGCGAACCGGGGGAACUGAAACAUCUAAGUACCCCGAGGAAAAGAAAUCAACCGAGAUUCCCCUAGUAGCGGCGAGCGAACGGGGAGGAGCCCAGAGUCUGAAUCAGUUUGUGUGUUAGUGGAAGCGUCUGGAAAGUCGCAGGGUACAGGGUGAUACUCCCGUACACAAAACACACUUGCUGUGAACUCGAUGAGUAGGGCGGGACACGUGACAUCCUGUCUGAAUAUGGGGGGACCAUCCUCCAAGGCUAAAUACUCCUGACUGACCGAUAGUGAACCAGUACCGUGAGGGAAAGGCGAAAAGAACCCCGGCGAGGGGAGUGAAAUAGAACCUGAAACCGUGUACGUACAAGCAGUGGGAGCACCUUCGUGGUGUGACUGCGUACCUUUUGUAUAAUGGGUCAGCGACUUAUAUUUUGUAGCAAGGUUAACCGAAUAGGGGAGCCGUAGGGAAACCGAGUCUUAACUGGGCGUCUAGUUGCAAGGUAUAGACCCGAAACCCGGUGAUCUAGCCAUGGGCAGGUUGAAGGUUGGGUAACACUAACUGGAGGACCGAACCGACUAAUGUUGAAAAAUUAGCGGAUGACUUGUGGCUGGGGGUGAAAGGCCAAUCAAACCGGGAGAUAGCUGGUUCUCCCCGAAAGCUAUUUAGGUAGCGCCUCGUGAACUCAUCUUCGGGGGUAGAGCACUGUUUCGGCUAGGGGGCCAUCCCGGCUUACCAAACCGAUGCAAACUCCGAAUACCGAAGAAUGUUAUCACGGGAGACACACGGCGGGUGCUAACGUCCGUCGUGAAGAGGGAAACAACCCAGACCGCCAGCUAAGGUCCCAAAGUCAUGGUUAAGUGGGAAACGAUGUGGGAAGGCAUAGACAGCCAGGAUGUUGGCUUAGAAGCAGCCAUCAUUUAAAGAAAGCGUAAUAGCUCACUGGUCGAGUCGGCCUGCGCGGAAGAUGUAACGGGGCUAAACCAUGCACCGAAGCUGCGGCAGCGACACUUAGGUGUUGUUGGGUAGGGGAGCGUUCUGUAAGCCGUUGAAGGUGACCUGUGAGGGUUGCUGGAGGUAUCAGAAGUGCGAAUGCUGACAUAAGUAACGAUAAUGCGGGUGAAAAACCCGCACGCCGGAAGACCAAGGGUUCCUGUCCAACGUUAAUCGGGGCAGGGUGAGUCGACCCCUAAGGCGAGGCUGAAAAGCGUAGUCGAUGGGAAACAGGUUAAUAUUCCUGUACUUGGUGUUACUGCGAAGGGGGGACGGAGAAGGCUAGGCUAGCCGGGCGACGGUUGUCCCGGUUUAAGCAUGUAGGCGGAGCGACUUGGUAAAUCCGGUUGCUUAUCAACGCUGAGGUGUGAUGACGAGUCACUACGGUGAUGAAGUAGUUGAUGCCAAGCUUCCAGGAAAAGCCUCUAAGCAUCAGGUAACAUUAAAUCGUACCCCAAACCGACACAGGUGGUCAGGUAGAGAAUACUCAGGCGCUUGAGAGAACUCGGGUGAAGGAACUAGGCAAAAUGGUGCCGUAACUUCGGGAGAAGGCACGCUGGCAUUAGGUAAUGGGACUUGCUCCCGGCGCCGAAGCCAGUCGCAGAUACCAGCUGGCUGCAACUGUUUAAUAAAAACACAGCACUGUGCAAACACGAAAGUGGACGUAUACGGUGUGACGCCUGCCCGGUGCUGGAAGGUUAAUUGAUGGGGUCAGCCGCAAGGCGAAGCUCUUGAUCGAAGCCCCAGUAAACGGCGGCCGUAACUAUAACGGUCCUAAGGUAGCGAAAUUCCUUGUCGGGUAAGUUCCGACCUGCACGAAUGGCGUAAUGAUGGCCAGGCUGUCUCCACCCGAGACUCAGUGAAAUUGAACUCGCUGUGAAGAUGCAGUGUACCCGCGGCAAGACGGAAAGACCCCGUGAACCUUUACUAUAGCUUGACACUGAACAUUGAGCCUUGAUGUGUAGGAUAGGUGGGAGGCAUUGAAGUGUGGACGCCAGUCUGCAUGGAGCCAACCUUGAAAUACCACCCUUUAAUGUUUGAUGUUCUAACUCGGCCCCGUAAUCCGGGGUGAGGACAGUGUCUGGUGGGUAGUUUGACUGGGGCGGUCUCCUCCCAAAGAGUAACGGAGGAGCACGAAGGUUAGCUAAUCACGGUCGGACAUCGUGAGGUUAGUGCAAAGGCAUAAGCUAGCUUGACUGCGAGAGUGACGGCUCGAGCAGGUACGAAAGUAGGUCUUAGUGAUCCGGUGGUUCUGAAUGGAAGGGCCAUCGCUCAACGGAUAAAAGGUACUCCGGGGAUAACAGGCUGAUACCGCCCAAGAGUUCAUAUCGACGGCGGUGUUUGGCACCUCGAUGUCGGCUCAUCACAUCCUGGGGCUGAAGUAGGUCCCAAGGGUAUGGCUGUUCGCCAUUUAAAGUGGUACGCGAGCUGGGUUUAGAACGUCGUGAGACAGUUCGGUCCCUAUCUGCCGUGGGCGUUGGAAGAUUGAGAGGGGCUGCUCCUAGUACGAGAGGACCGGAGUGGACGAAUCACUGGUGUUCGGGUUGUCAUGCCAAUGGCAUUGCCCGGUAGCUAAAUUCGGAAGAGAUAACCGCUGAAAGCAUCUAAGCGGGAAACUUGCCUCGAGAUGAGUCUUCCCUGGGGCUUUAAGCCCCCUGAAGGAACGUUAAAGACUAUGACGUUGAUAGGCUGGGUGUGUAAGUGCAGCGAUGCAUUGAGCUAACCAGUACUAAUGAUCCGUGAGGCUUAACCUU
This 2904-nucleotide ribosomal RNA is filed under the name Yersinia kristensenii. Its description in RNAcentral is "bacterial LSU rRNA". It matches the Rfam family "Bacterial large subunit ribosomal RNA". Lineage: Bacteria; Pseudomonadati; Pseudomonadota; Gammaproteobacteria; Enterobacterales; Yersiniaceae. The record is from RNAcentral. RNAcentral also lists the same sequence under 1 other name.